RNAcentral lists this ribosomal RNA (382 nucleotides) under uncultured Bradyrhizobiaceae bacterium. Its description in RNAcentral is "bacterial SSU rRNA". It matches the Rfam family "Bacterial small subunit ribosomal RNA", at positions 355 to 755 of the family's 1533-position model. Lineage: Bacteria; Pseudomonadati; Pseudomonadota; Alphaproteobacteria; Hyphomicrobiales; Nitrobacteraceae. The record is from RNAcentral.
UGGGGAAUAUUGGACAAUGGGGGCAACCCUGAUCCAGCCAUGCCGCGUGAGUGAUGAAGGCCCUAGGGUUGUAAAGCUCUUUUGUGCGGGAAGAUAAUGACGGUACCGCAAGAAUAAGCCCCGGCUAACUUCGUGCCAGCAGCCGCGGUAAUACGAAGGGGGCUAGCGUUGCUCGGAAUCACUGGGCGUAAAGGGUGCGUAGGCGGGUUUUUAAGUCAGGGGUGAAAUCCUGGAGCUCAACUCCAGAACUGCCUUUGAUACUGAAGAUCUUGAGUCCGGGAGAGGUGAGUGCAACUGCGAGUGUAGAUGUGAAGUUCGUAAAUAUUCGCGAGAUCCCCUUGGCGAAGGCGGCUCACUAGUGCGGUACGGAAGCUGGGCUAAG